GACCCCCCUUUUCUCCCAAAACUUAGUAUAAGAGUGCCAAUCAAUCACAAAAAGCUUUAUUAUAAUUAUUACACGUAUAAUCCUCUGACAUCCCCCCCCACCCCAAACGUCAGAUGCUUUGCUACGUCCCUGCUACGUCAGAUGCUUUACUACGUCUAAGAUAUCCUUAGUCUGCUCUUCUAAAUGGAUACAUGAAAUCACCUAUAGCUUAUUUUAAUUUUUUUUGCGCCAGGUUUGUGAAGUAAUUUACGCGCCAAAAAGCAAAAAAGCAUAUACAAUUUGCAAGAAUGAUAUGUUCUAUGUUUAUGGGAUAUUUCGUACAAACGGAUGGAAAUUAAAGAAAUUGAUGCAUACUGGCACUUUUGCAUGCAUUUUUGACAGGCAUGCAAAGACAUUUGCAACAGAUGCCGGGAGAUACGUUGGGUGGGGGCAACAUACUGUAAGGUUCCAGCACAUUACCCUGAUCCAGGAAAUCCUGGCCACUGCAUGAACGUGUUCAAGACUCCGAAUGCGCUCAAUGAUGGACAACAACGACUUGUUGAUAAUUCCACCCCUAGAGCCAAUUUAAAAUGUUUUAAAGACGGUGCCAUUUCAUCUGGCGCUAGUGAGAUGAAAGAAGCAGCAGAUCGGUAGUUUUGUUAAGAAGAAGAACUGAGUAGCACUUGAGUAUAUCAGACAUCUUGAGGAACUGCAAAUUGUAUCUAUGAUAAGAGAGAAUUCCGGAUUGUACUCCUUCGAUUCCGAAUUCUAGAGAGGAAGGGGGGCAUUGAAAAUUUUAAAAACUUCGAGGGGGGGGCAUCGAAAUUUACCGAUAACCUCAACAGGGGCCCUGUAAAAAUAUGAGCUUUUUUCAAGACAUCUUCAUCCCCCUCCCUCGGUGUAAUAAAUGUACUUUCCCUUAUACAGCAGGGGAUAUUUUACUUUACUUUUUACAAGUAAUUUUUAAACGUAUCUAUAAGGUGUUCAUGGAGAGGCAUUAUAGUGUAUAGUUUCAGAGCUUUUUGUGUUUAAAAUUGAGUAACUCUGAACAAGAUCGUUGUUACAAGAUGACCAUUUUUUACAAGCUUGCAAUUGUUGACAAUGAUAUAAGUUUUUUACGUCCGUAAUAAUGUAAUUAAUAUCUGGUUCCAGUAUAACCUGCAUGUGGUAUUAUUGGUGUACAACAAUAACAUAAAACUGAGCAGUGUAACUUUUUCGCAGAAAUUUUUACUUGCUCUGAUCAGGAUUUGCGUUUUAAUAAUGCAACAGUCAUAUGCGCAACGUAGACGUUCUCCUUGUAUUUUCAGGUAGUUGUAUCCCUAUCAAUCCAAAGCUUUUUUAUUUUCGUCAUUACCUACACGGGCACAGACCAUUCAAGAUUAUGGGAAAAUGCAUGGGGAAGUUUUGUUCCACUGUGCCAAAUAUCAUGGGUUUUCCCCAGGCAUUCCGGUAAUUUCUUCCAGGGC
This is a non-coding RNA of Paramuricea clavata, 1445 nucleotides long. The record is from the annotation of a GenBank genome assembly. Lineage: Eukaryota; Metazoa; Cnidaria; Anthozoa; Malacalcyonacea; Plexauridae.